GCGGAUGUGGUGGAAUUGGCAGACACACUAUCUUGAGGGGGUAGCGGUCCACGGCCGUGCGGGUUCAAAUCCCGCCAUCCGCACCA
RNAcentral lists this transfer RNA (86 nucleotides) under Thermotalea metallivorans. RNAcentral describes it as "tRNA-Leu". It matches the Rfam family "tRNA". From Rfam's summary of the family: Transfer RNA (tRNA) molecules are approximately 80 nucleotides in length. Their secondary structure includes four short double-helical elements and three loops (D, anti-codon, and T loops). Lineage: Bacteria; Bacillati; Bacillota; Clostridia; Peptostreptococcales; Thermotaleaceae. The record is from RNAcentral.